Molecule: ribosomal RNA, 341 nt
Filed under: uncultured bacterium
Lineage: Bacteria
Description: bacterial SSU rRNA
Rfam family: Bacterial small subunit ribosomal RNA
Source: RNAcentral
AACGAACGCUAGCGGCGUGCUUAACACAUGCAAGUCGUACGAGAAAUCCUGGGCAACUGGGAGAGUAAAGUGGCGCACGGGUGAGUAACGCGUGGGUAAUCUACCUUGGAGUUGGGAAUAACACCUCGAAAGGGGUGCUAAUACCAAAUGUGGUCCCUGGAGUUUCGGCCCUGGGGAUGAAAGAUGGCUGAGGCUUGCAAGCUAUUGCUCCAAGAUGAGCCCACGUACCAUUAGCUUGUUGGUGGGGUAACGGCCUACCAAGGCGACGAUGGUUAGCUGGUCUGAGAGGAUGAUCAGCCACACUGGAACUGAAACACGGUCCAGACUCCUACGGGAGGCUG